GACGAACGCUGGCGGCGUGCUUAACACAUGCAAGUCGAACGGAAAGGCCCCUUUUUGGGUACUCGCUUGGCUAACGAGUGAGUAACACGUGAGUAACCUGCCCUUGACUUCGGGAUAACUUCCUUCAACUGGGGCUAAUACCUAAUAGGAAUCCUUUCUUCAUGCUUGGGGUUGGUAAGCUUCGGGGGUUGGGUAUGGACUCGCGGCUUAUAAGCUUGUUGGUGGGGUAGUGGCUUACUAAGGUUUUGAUGGGUAGCGGGCCGGAGAGGGCGACCGGCAAAAUGGGGCUGGAGAUAGGGCCAGGAUUCUACGGGAGGGAGGAGGGGGGAAUAUUGGAAAAUGGGGGGAAGGCUGAUGGAACAAAGGCGGGGGGGGGAUGAAGGGCUUCGGGGUGUAAAACGCUUUCAGCAGGGGAGGAGCUGGGAGUGACGGUACCGGCAGAAGAAGCACCGGCUAACUACGUG
RNAcentral lists this ribosomal RNA (464 nucleotides) under uncultured bacterium. RNAcentral describes it as "partial 16S ribosomal RNA". It matches the Rfam family "Bacterial small subunit ribosomal RNA", at positions 28 to 507 of the family's 1533-position model. The record is from RNAcentral.